AGAAGGCGCCGGGGCAAGCGGCCUGUUGGCGCCCAGUUUCAGCUGGCUGUUCCCGCUAGCAUCAGGGCUCGAUCGUAGAGGACGCGGCAGCCGCAGCUCGCGGAGAACAGCGGGCAGAGCUGUGGGCUGCACGCGCCCCUGCAGCCACCGGGCGUCCCGCAGAGGCUCCCGCGCCCUGCGGCGACUUCCGCCCCCGCGCUCCCCUUUGUCCGAGUCCCCAAGCGGCGGCGGCGGGGUAGGAGCCCACGCCGUGGGCGACUGAGGCGGCGGCAGUCCGCGUCCCGGCGCCCUGGAGAUGCCGGACCAGAUCUCCGUGUCGGAAUUCGUGGCCGAGACCCUUGAGGACUACAAGGCGCCCACGGCCUCUAGCUUCACCACGGGCACGGCCCAGUGCCGGAACACCAUGGCGGCCAUCGAGGAGGUUAAGCUGUUCCCCGGAAUGUUUUAACAACAGGGCAUACCCAGGUGAAUUAUACCCUUUUGGGGUUCAGACCUCGCUCAACUGGAGACCUGCCUGUCUGUGCAAAGCCCAGUGCCCCACAUGAAUGGUUUAGUCUCCACUGCCAGCUGCCAUGGGCAAGCAGAACAGCAAACUGGGUCCUGAGGUGCUGCAGGACCUGCGGAAAACAGGGAGUUCACCCACCAUGAGCUUCAGGAGUGGUACAAGGGCUUCCUCAAUGACUGUCCCACUGGCCACCUGACUGUGGACAAUUUCAAGAUCUAGGCCAACUUCUUCCCCUACAGAGAUUCCUCCAAGUUUGCUGAACAUGUCUUCCACACCUUUGACACCAACAGCGACAGCACCAUCGACUUUCAAGAGUUCAUCAUUGCUCUGAUCAUGACCUCUCGGGGCAAGCUGGAACAGAAGCUCAAGUGGGCCUUCAGAAUGUCUGAACUAGACAGCAAUAGCUACUUCAGCUGCAGUGAAAUGCUGGAGAUAGUGCAGGCAAAAUGUCCCUGGAAGAAUUCAACAAAGGUGCCAAGAGUGACCCAUCCAUUGUCUGGUUGCUGCAGUGUGAUCCCAGCAGUGCUAGCCAGUUCUCAGGGGAAUGGGCUUUUACACAGUUGUGAGAAGCACAGUCUUGACCUGCCAUCUUCAGCUUUGCUUGCAAAAGUGGAUUUCUCCGUGAUUUCUCCUGCUCUCUCGGGACCUGGGUCCAGACAGCACAUCACACUCACCUGGUCUAGCUGGAUUCAGCUCCCUCCUCUAUCUGACCCAAUAGAUGUCCGUCCCCAUCCAGUCCAGGCUGGUUCCUUCCAAGGUUUCAAGUGUUCUCAGCUGUAGGGCUCCUUCCCUCCCCACGGAGGGCCUGGAGGCCCUUAAGGACACCAGACAGGACUUUUCAGUAUCUUACCGAGACCAGCUGAUUUAUUCUAUGAUCCCAGCUGACUUUGUGAGCAUGAAGAAGAUGGAGAGUAGAUAGGCAAGCCCUUCCUGUUCAUGGCUCCACCUCCCUUGUUCAUUUUCUCCAACCACAGCUGCUUGCAUGUAUAUACCGUGGUAUCCUUACUUUUAAUAUAUAAGUUUUGUAUAAAGUGAGAAGUUUCAGCCCCUGUAUUUAAAGCCUCUGACUGCCUUUAAAGCAUGGUCCCCUGUGGCUUGUGAUUCUCCCCACCCCCAAAUCUAGCUGUGCUGUGGUAUUUAAGUAUUCAUUUGCCUAAUUAUACAGGAUAUACAUGCAUGCCCAAGGCUGUGGACAUCUGCCCUCCGUCCUGCAAAUACAGGUUUUCUUGGGUGCUCCAUCCUUCCUUUCCAUUGACCUGGAAUAUUAAAAUGGUCAAAUAAACCAA
This 1791-nucleotide long non-coding RNA is filed under the name Mus musculus (house mouse). RNAcentral describes it as "RIKEN cDNA 3110053B16 gene, transcript variant 2 (3110053B16Rik)". Lineage: Eukaryota; Metazoa; Chordata; Mammalia; Rodentia; Muridae. The record is from RNAcentral.